RNAcentral lists this microRNA (22 nucleotides) under Gallus gallus (chicken). RNAcentral's name for it is "gga-miR-2184a-3p". Lineage: Eukaryota; Metazoa; Chordata; Aves; Galliformes; Phasianidae. The record is from miRBase by way of RNAcentral.
GCAUGUGAGCUCCUACUGCCGC